AUGUAUAUCAACAGCAAAAACAUCAGAGACUCGAGAGUGUAAAGCUAGUGCCAGUGGCCUACGGGACUGAGUCCACAACUUGUGAGAAACUCUAUGAGCCUGGCAAGCCAAGAACCCUUUGUAAUUGAGAAGACAAUGCGAGAAUGAUAUGCAAGCAGGAUCACGGACGCGGUAGGCGCGAAGAUCAGCGACGGCAGCGGCGAUGAGAGAAGGGUCGGAGGAGAAAGUGUCGAGGAAGAGAUCGUAAAGGAGGG
This 254-nucleotide unclassified non-coding RNA is filed under the name Hevea brasiliensis (rubber tree). Lineage: Eukaryota; Viridiplantae; Streptophyta; Magnoliopsida; Malpighiales; Euphorbiaceae. The record is from RNAcentral.